CUCAGAUGGCUGCUAAAGCUGCUUCCCUAAGCUGUCCUGCCUAGUUUGCAUCACAACAUUCAGUGUCUCCACUGUCUGCAUGCAGACGCUGAACUUUCCUCAUAGAGAUUCAUUAAAUCAGUUCAUCUCUAUAAGGAGAUGCUGAUUGACCUGGGCUGUGUUUCACUUGUGCUGGCUCUGCCCCUGAUAUACCCCCUAGACAGUCUCAGACAAUCCUAUGGGGAAGCGUUGUGAUUGGUUCAGACCACCACUUCUGAUGAUGUCAGCAGACAUGGGCAGUUAACAGGUAAACAGGGGCAGAGCCAGCAGCUUCAGACUUGAAUACAAGUUUUACUAUAUUAAGUGUGGCAAGAUGGGACCGGGGGCUAGAUGGUGGUUUUAAUACCAUAGGAUCAGAAAUCUAUGUUUGUGUUGCUGACCUUAUAGUGCUCCUUUAAUUGUUGCUGUACAGUCGGAUGGGGUUCAAUUUGUAAUGCAGCUCAUUUCUGAUUUCAUGUGCUUCCAUGUCUUGCUCAGUUUAUAUAGCAAGUGUAUGUGAACUAUUUAAUGAUUUGACUGACAUGCUUAGUAUAUACCUCCUCUAUACUAAUUGGUUACAGUGCAUCCAUGGAAGUGGCCGUAAUGUUUCCCCACACAGUCCUGACCACAGCUCAUUAUUAUUUAUAUAACACCGACCACAUACAGUCUUUAAUAGCUCUUUACAAUUAUACAAAUUUAAUCAAACUGCAUUUGAGCCUCACAUCCAGUCUGUUACCAAAUCCUGUCGAUGCUACCUUAAAGGAAC
This is a non-coding RNA of Pelobates cultripes (western spadefoot toad), 784 nucleotides long. The record is from the annotation of a GenBank genome assembly. Lineage: Eukaryota; Metazoa; Chordata; Amphibia; Anura; Pelobatidae.